UCAGGAUGAACGCUAGCUACAGGCUUAACACAUGCAAGUCGAGGGCAGCAUGUGGUGCUGCAACCAAUGAUGGCGACCGGCGCACGGGUGAGUAACGCGUAUCCAACCUUCCCCUUAGUAGGGCAUAGCCCGUAGAAAUGCGGAUUAAUACCCUAUGUUGUAUUUUGAGGACAUCUGACGAAUACCAAAGGUUUACCGCUAAGGGAUGGGGAUGCGUCUGAUUAGGUAGACGGCGGGGUAACGGCCCACCGUGCCAACGAUCAGUAGAGGUUCUGAGAGGAAGGUCCCCCACAUUGGAACUGAGACACGGUCCAAACUCCUACGGGAGGCAGCAGUGAGGAAUAUUGGUCAAUGGGCGAGAGCCUGAACCAGCCAAGUAAGCGUGCAGGACGACGGCCCUAUGGGUUGUAAACUGCUUUUAUACAGGGAUAAAGUUCACUACGUGUAGUGUUUUGUAGGUACUGUAUGAAUAAGGACCGGCUAAUUCCGUGCCAGCCGCCGC
This 502-nucleotide ribosomal RNA is filed under the name uncultured bacterium. RNAcentral describes it as "bacterial SSU rRNA". It matches the Rfam family "Bacterial small subunit ribosomal RNA", at positions 24 to 518 of the family's 1533-position model. The record is from RNAcentral.